GUAGGUGGCAAGCGUUGUCCGGAAUUACUGGGCGUAAAGCGCGCGCAGGCGGUUCUUUAAGUCUGAUGUGAAAGCCCACGGGCUCAACCGUGGAGGGUCAUUGGAAACUGGAGAACUUGAGUACAGAAGAGGAAAGCGGGAUUCCACGUGUAGCGGUGAAAUGCGUAGAGAUGUGGAGGAACACCAGUGGCGAAGGCGGCUUUCUGGUCUGUAACUGACGCUGAGGCGCGAAAGCGUGGGGAGCAAACAGGAUUAGAUACCCUGGUAGUCCACGCCGUAAACGAUGAGUGCUAAGUGUUAGGGGGUUUCCGCCCCUUAGUGCUGCAGCUAACGCAUUAAGCACUCCGCCUGGGGAGUACGGCCGCAAGGCUG
This 372-nucleotide ribosomal RNA is filed under the name uncultured organism. RNAcentral describes it as "partial 16S ribosomal RNA". It matches the Rfam family "Bacterial small subunit ribosomal RNA", at positions 527 to 896 of the family's 1533-position model. The record is from RNAcentral.